Molecule: long non-coding RNA, 151 nt
Organism: Bombyx mori (domestic silkworm)
Lineage: Eukaryota; Metazoa; Arthropoda; Insecta; Lepidoptera; Bombycidae
Exons: 3
Source: RefSeq, a predicted model, not a curated record
AAAAAAUUAUUUACCACAGAGUUUAUGAAAGUUGUCCAUAAGUACUUUAAAAUCAUAUAAAUUUCGUCAAACACAUUUUCACCUGGAGCAAAGUGAUCUUAAAUAAGGACAAGUUCCGGCCUUAAAUGCGUUGAACGAAAUCUUGAAAUUU